Molecule: ribosomal RNA, 447 nt
Filed under: uncultured bacterium
Lineage: Bacteria
Description: bacterial SSU rRNA
Rfam family: Bacterial small subunit ribosomal RNA
Source: RNAcentral
UCGGGAAUUUUGGGCAAUGGGCGAAAGCCUGACCCAGCAACGCCGCGUGAAGGAUGAAGUAUUUCGGUAUGUAAACUUCGAAAGAAUAGGAAGAAUAAAUGACGGUACUAUUUAUAAGGUCCGGCUAACUACGUGCCAGCAGCCGCGGUAAUACGUAGGGACCAAGCGUUGUUCGGAUUUACUGGGCGUAAAGGGCGCGUAGGCGGCUUGACAAGUCACUUGUGAAAUCUCUGGGCUUAACCCAGAACGGCCAAGUGAAACUGUCAUGCUAGAGUGCAGAAGGGGCAAUCGGAAUUCUUGGUGUAGCGGUGAAAUGCGUAGAUAUCGGGAGGAACACCUGUGGCGAAGGCGGCCACCUGGUUGGAUACUGACGCUGAGACGCGAAAGCGUGGGAAGCAAACAGGAUUAGAUACCCAAGUAGUCCCUGAGCGGGCUGGCAAGGCGCAU